UAUGCAGGGAUGUUGUCUGGAGGGUUCCCU
Molecule: non-coding RNA, 30 nt
Filed under: Mus musculus (house mouse)
Lineage: Eukaryota; Metazoa; Chordata; Mammalia; Rodentia; Muridae
Source: RNAcentral